AGUGGAUUAGCGGCGGACGGGUGAGUAACACGUGGGUAACCUGCCUCAAAGUGGGGGAUAGCCUUCCGAAAGGAAGAUUAAUACCGCAUAAUAUAAGAGAAUCGCAUGAUUUUUUUAUCAAAGAUUUAUUGCUUUGAGAUGGACCCGCGGCGCAUUAGCUAGUUGGUAAGGUAAUGGCUUACCAAGGCAACGAUGCGUAGCCGACCUGAGAGGGUGAUCGGCCACAUUGGAACUGAGACACGGUCCAGACUCCUACGGGAGGCAGCAGUGGGGAAUAUUGCGCAAUGGGGGAAACCCUGACGCAGCAACGCCGCGUGGGUGAUGAAGGUCUUCGGAUUGUAAAGCCCUGUUUUCUGGGACGAUAAUGACGGUACCAGAGGAGGAAGCCACGGCUAACUACGUGCCAGCAGCCGCGGUAAUACGUAGGUGGCGAGCGUUGUCCGGAUUUACUGGGCGUAAAGGGUGCGUAGGCGGAUGUUUAAGUGGGAUGUGAAAUCCCCGGGCUUAACCUGGGGGCUGCAUUCCAAACUGGAUAUCUAGAGUGCAGGAGAGGAAAGCGGAAUUCCUAGUGUAGCGGUGAAAUGCGUAGAGAUUAGGAAGAACACCAGUGGCGAAGGCGGCUUUCUGGACUGUAACUGACGCUGAGGCACGAAAGCGUGGGUAGCAAACAGGAUUAGAUACCCUGGUAGUCCACGCCGUAAACGAUGGAUACUAGGUGUAGGGGGUAUCAACUCCCCCUGUGCCGCAGUUAACACAAUAAGUAUCCCGCCUGGGGAGUACGGUCGCAAGAUUAAAACUCAAAGGAAUUGACGGGGGCCCGCACAAGCAGCGGAGCAUGUGGUUUAAUUCGAAGCAACGCGAAGAACCUUACCUGGACUUGACAUCCCUUGCAUAGCCUAGAGAUAGGUGAAGCCCUUCGGGGCAAGGAGACAGGUGGUGCAUGGUUGUCGUCAGCUCGUGUCGUGAGAUGUUAGGUUAAGUCCUGCAACGAGCGCAACCCUUGUUAUUAGUUGCUACCAUUAAGUUGAGCACUCUAAUGAGACUGCCUGGGUAACCAGGAGGAAGGUGGGGAUGACGUCAA
Molecule: ribosomal RNA, 1081 nt
Filed under: Clostridium botulinum
Lineage: Bacteria; Bacillati; Bacillota; Clostridia; Eubacteriales; Clostridiaceae
Description: bacterial SSU rRNA
Rfam family: Bacterial small subunit ribosomal RNA
Source: RNAcentral